UUCAUCGUUCGAUCAUAUUUCGGACAGUCAUUGCUAUUUGCUUGAGCCAAAUUUUGCGAUGUGGGCUCUUCCUUGUGCUAUCGUCUUCUGUCCAAAAGAUAAGGCCCUUGGGCCUGAUGGUUUCUCAGCCAGUUUCUUCAGUCGAAUUGGGACAUUGUGGGACCGGCUAUUGUCAAAGAGGUCCAAACUUUCUUCUCUUCGGGAAU
RNAcentral lists this long non-coding RNA (206 nucleotides) under Eutrema salsugineum. RNAcentral's name for it is "long non-coding RNA (ESAL_LNC002212)". The record is from RNAcentral. Lineage: Eukaryota; Viridiplantae; Streptophyta; Magnoliopsida; Brassicales; Brassicaceae.